This 504-nucleotide ribosomal RNA is filed under the name uncultured bacterium. Its description in RNAcentral is "partial 16S ribosomal RNA". It matches the Rfam family "Bacterial small subunit ribosomal RNA", at positions 30 to 523 of the family's 1533-position model. The record is from RNAcentral.
AUUGAACGCUGGCGGCAGGCCUAACACAUGCAAGUCGAACGGUAGCACAGAGAGCUUGCUCUCGGGUGACGAGUGGCGGACGGGUGAGUAAUGUCUGGGAAACUGCCCGAUGGAGGGGGAUAACUACUGGAAACGGUAGCUAAUACCGCAUAACGUCGCAAGACCAAAGUGGGGGACCUUCGGGCCUCACCCCCUAGGCUGUGCCCAGAUGGGAUUAGCUAGUAGGUGGGGUAAUGGCUCACCUAGGCGACGAUCCCUAGCUGGUCUGAGAGGAUGACCAGCCACACUGGAACUGAGACACGGUCCAGACUCCUACGGGAGGCAGCAGUGGGGAAUAUUGCACAAUGGGCGCAAGCCUGAUGCAGCCAUGCCGCGUGUAUGAAGAAGGCCUUCGGGUUGUAAAGUACUUUCAGCGGGGAGGAAGGCGGUGAAGUUAAUAACUUCACCGAUUGACGUUACCCGCAGAAGAAGCACCGGCUAACUCCGUGCCAGCAGCCGCAGUAA